This 3690-nucleotide long non-coding RNA is filed under the name Triticum aestivum (bread wheat). RNAcentral describes it as "long non-coding RNA (TAES_LNC020142)". The record is from RNAcentral. Lineage: Eukaryota; Viridiplantae; Streptophyta; Magnoliopsida; Poales; Poaceae.
UAAAAAGACUUAUAUUUAAGAACAGAGGGAGUACAUUAUUACGCAACAUUGUUCCAAUGAUCUUCAUAUACUAAAACACAGUUAACGAAACUAUUAAGAAUUACAACUCAAAAAAAAUAUUAAGCAUUAUGUACUAAUUCGCAAGGAAAAUAGCUCUUUAUCAUCUAUUUCUACAUAUAAAUAUGUAAUAAAAUGCAUUAACCGUGCUCAGUUCAACCUGGACAACAAAAACGCACUACUCCGAAGUAAUUACAAAGCGGGACUGUCUAUUUGACAUUUGACUGUUUUUCAAUUCAACAACAUUCAAAUUCCCCAACCAAUGAACAGAUGACACAUGUUUGUCCCAAACCCCCCACCCCACGGGUCGUUGUUGGUUUUCUUAUUUCGGGUUAAGCGGGUCGGGCAAAACCCUGGCCCGGUUUCAACUAAACCGACACCACCACCAAACCUCGCUGCACGGCAGCCUCGCUGGACCACAGCAAACAGUUGGCCAUCAACUUGCUACGGGAAACGCAGGCCCCUUUUGGGAACUCUCCAACCCCUCCUACAUAACAGCAGCAGAGAUCUCACCUAAAACACAUCACAAAAAAAGAAACAAAUCAGGCCUACGGCCAUGGAAGAAGGAGGGGAGAAGAACAAAGAGCAGAUCAAAAUCAGAUAAGGCAGGCAGCCAUGAGAGACAGGGGUGAACCUGGAGAGGAAGGUGAAGGUUUACCUGGAGACGAGCAAGAAGGAACAACAACAUCUUCAAUUCUUCACCCGCUUAGGCAAUUGGGGAAAUCCCAGAAAAAUCAACAAGUCAGGAACAAAAAAACUACUGCUACCCCCUAGCACUUCAAUUCUUCAGCCCCUUCACCUCUCUUAAAAGGAAAUCUGCAAAAACAAAAUGUGUCGCAGAAACUAGAUACAGGUUAAGAAACAAUCAGUAGACAAAAACUAGAUACUCUGGAAAUAAUUCAUCACUAGCAGUAGGCAGAACUUGGAUAAUUUUAUAAUUUACACUGCAAGAACACGUAGUGCCUGAUUGAGUCUAGAAAGAACAGUAGCACACCAAGAAUUACAGUGGAAAAUCCCCUAGUAAUUACACUAAAAACUGACUAAACAGACCAAGAAUUACAGUGCAAAAAUCCCCUAGUAAUUACAUAGUAAUUCCCAGUGCAAAUUGCAUAGAAAUUACAGUGGAAAUUGCAGAAAUUACAGUGAAAAUUGCAUGGAAAUUUCAGUGGAAAAUGCCAUAGAAAUUUCAGUGUAUGAAUGUUAAAAUGCAUCAAAACUUAGACUGGAACAAACCUACUGUAUUUACACUGUUAAAAUACUACUGCAAAUUGUACUGUUACUCACACUGUUAAGCUUACCCAUUAAACUGAACCUAUAAAUCACAAUGCUAAAAGCAUGAAUAUUACACUGUAAAUUAGGGCAAAGAUUACACUGUAAAAUACAUAUAAUAAGCAACACGGUAAAACUAGGGGUACACUGUAAAAAUUCAGAAUAAAGACUAGGGGUACAGUGAAAAUUAGCAUGACAGAUUACAUAACUGAAUCAAUGUAAAUACAUUGCAAAAAUCUGGGAAUAUACAUUGUAGCUACAAUGUAAACCAUCGUAAUUCUAGGGGAAAUUACACUGGAAUCAGUAAAUUGUGUAAAUUACACUGAAAACUAAGGACAAGAUACACUGAACUAUAUGAUGAAUUACACAGUGGUUAUUGGGCAAAAAUACAAUUUAAUUCUAGGGUGAAUUACACUGAAGCUACAAAACAGUAAUUCUGCUUUGAAUUACACAGUAAAACUACGGCAUGAAUUACACUGAAACUGCAUAAUGAAUUACAUAGUAAAAUACAGCAUGAAUUACAAAGUAAUUCUACAUUGAAUUACACUGGAGCUGCAUGAUGAAUUACACAAUAAUUCUAUAGUAAAUUACAAUGUAACUACAUGAUGAAUUACACAGUAAAAAUGGGGCAAACAUACACAGUAAAUACUAGUAAUUAUGUGAAGAAACACUGAAACUAUGGGCUGACUUACACAGAAACUACCAUGUAAUUUGCAUAGUAAGUCUGAAGAUUACACAAUAAGUCUGAGGCAAAAAUAUACAGUAAAAAUACUAGUAAUUACAGAGUGAAAAACAGGACCUCGCUCAAUACUACUGCCACAGAGACACACUUGCACAUGAAAAAAAGAAAUAAAUGCAAGAAACUACAUGAAGUACAGAGCUAAAAGCAUGGAAAUCACUGUAAAAAAUGAGAGGUCAAUCAUCUGACAUAUACUGUGUAAGACCUACAAAUUUACAGUACUGAAGCAUACAAAUUACAGUGUAAAUCUGCAGUAUAUUACAGUAUAAGCCCUACAUCAAUUCAGAGGUAAAAUCCACUAUACUCAGUCCAAAAAUUACUGUGUAAAUCAUACAACAUUUACAGUGCUGAAGCAUACAAAUUACAGUGUAAAUCUGCGGUAUAUUACAGUGUAAGCCCUACAGCAAUUCAGUGAUGAAGCAUAGAAAUUACACUGUAAUAUACAGUUUUGAAGCAUAUAAAUUGCAGUGUAAAUCUGGGGUAGAUACAGUGAUGAAGCAUAGAAAUUACACUGUAAUUAUGAGGUAUACUACAGUUGGUAAAUUACAGUGCAAAUAUUAGGCAUAUUACAAUGGAAUCAUGUCCUAUAUUAUAGUGUAAAUCACAGUUAAAUUCCACUAUAGUUCGUGGAAAAUAAGAUGCAUGACAAUUAGCAUAAACAGAAACAUUUCAAUGGCAUCAGACUACUACUGGGAUGAUCUACUGGAAUAAACAGAAACUAGAUUUGCAAUUUGCACACUAAAACUAUGUGGAUUACACAGUAAGACUCAGGCAAAAAUACACAUCAACGGCACAAAGGAAAAGAUACAAACCUGCAUCACACACACACAAUUACCAUGGCAUUAAGAAGAAGGAACCUAAGUACAUCUAAACCAACACUAAGAGCGAUUUAUCCACUCACAUGAUAAAAGGGACCUGCAACAGCGGGCACAGGAGGAACCCUAGAAACCAACACAGCCAGAGGAGGCAACACCCAUCUACCAGUGAACAAACAAACCACCUACCAAUGCAAAUCACAAACCCAAAACCACAAAAACUCCCAUCUCAAAACCCUAUAACUGAUCCAUACAUCUAUCUGAAUCACAAAAACUGAACACGUUGAACCUACCACGAGUAGACGAGGAACAAAAUGGCGGACAACACGAAGCAGAUGAUGAACGACAGCGGGACGACGCGAACCAGAACGAACCACUAAAACUACAAGCACCUACCAUGAAUCUACAACAACACGGCCCCGGAUCACAACACACACCUACCACGAACCCUAUCAAAAUCACAUCAGCAACUGACCCCUAGAUAUGGAAGCUACACACUGAGAAAUGAACAAAAUCACGCGCUCGAGAGAGAAAUUGAGAGACCAACCAACCGCAGGAGGCGAUAAAUCGAAGAGAAAUGAGAAAGAAAUCAAGCUCCACAGGUGGGGGGGGGUCUGGGAAUCGACAUGAACAGAAAGGAAUCGCCUCCGUCGCCCGAGCGCCCGUUCCUCCCUCUUCCUCCCUAUCUCCUCUCUCCCUUAUCGCUACAGUGCCACUCAAAUGAAAGGGGAAAACCACGCCCAAAAUUCAAUAAGGACAAAAACCGGAAGAGGCAGAGAGGAGGGGCGCAGAGCGGUAACGGGCUGGGAC